GGGGAGUGGAGGGUGAAUGGAAAUCAGAGAGAGAAGGAGCGAUUGAAGGGUGGAGGGGAGGAAUGAUAACUACAGAGGAGGCGAGGGGGGAAGAGGAGGAGGAGAAGAAGAGGAGAGCAGGAUUAUGGAGGUUAUGGUAGUAGGUGCCAAGGGCACCAGGUUUGUGUCAAGAACUGCAACGUCGCAACAGUUUCCUGUGUGUAUCAAGAAUGGUCCACCAACCAAAGGACAUCCAGUCAACUUGACACAACUGUAAGAAGCAUUGGAGUCAUUAAUGGUUCUAAGUUGUGUAUCCCCACAAGGGCCAGUGCGUGGAGACGAUGCAGGAUGCCCUAGUGCCCUUAUGAGUAGAGUGGUUGGGUCGUGACGUCUUAAUCUCGUCCCUAAUGCAGGCGGGAAAUGUGGCGGGAGAGUUUGGUGUUACGGCUUUCCGACUUUAAUGACUUGCAGUUGGAGGAGCCCUCUGGAGCAUCGCCACUUUAAGUCAUGAGGAUGGGGGGGAUUUAUCUGACUGUGACUGUCACAUGGGAGCACAUGGGAGCACCAUGCUGGGCCUUACUGUAUGAGUAGAGAGUAGAGUAGGACCGGAGUUAGAAAUUAAAAGAUUUUCUAGAUUAGAAACUGUAUUGUCCAUUAAAGGUAAAAAUAUAAUUACUCAUUAACAAAAUAGUGUGUAGCCCACAUAGCAUUACAGUAAAAUUACACACCAAAAGAGUCAGCGGUAAAGGAACAUACGACAAAUCAGGGUAGUGUUCAACAGUAGUAUUUCAGACAGCCAGAUGAUGCCAUAUUGUCCCUGCCUGCUCUUUGACUAUGCAGUGCAUUCCAGGUGAAAGUUUUCCAUAAACACAGACCUAGGGUCAGUUUACUCUCCCCAGAUCCUAGUCUGAACCAUCUGGAGUAAACAAAGCAAUACUGACCACAGAUCAUGACAUCAUCGUCCCUCUCACAUCAGCCCCUUGGGAGGCACACACACACACACACACUUAAGGUAAAAUCUCCCUCCGUUUUAUUCUGUUACCAAAUGUUGUAUCUGCACCGCUCUUCCUGUAAAUGUAAUUUUGUCAAAUGUUCUGUGGAAAUUGUUAAAAGAGUUGUAUGUUUUGUGAAACUUUGAAAUCAGUGUUUUUUAUUUGGUGUACAUUUAAAGUGAAACAUUUUAGUCCUAGCGUAAUUCUGUCACCAUGGAAUUGCCCAUAUGCUACUGCCCAGUCACAGAAAAACUAGAUUAAAACACUGGCUCUAUGAAAAUCAGCUGUAUGUGAGUGUGCGUCUGUUUUCUUUAUGUGUGUGUGUGUGUCUACAGUUCCCUCCCAGCUUUUAAGACUAACAUUGAAAAAGCAGAUUUUUAAAGGUCACAAUACAGCAGGCUCUCUACACGCUUCUCUCUCCAGCUGGUCCUUUGUGUGUCUGUGUGUGUGUACAGAUUGGUAUAAAUAAGCUC
This is a long non-coding RNA of Oncorhynchus tshawytscha (Chinook salmon), 1444 nucleotides long. The record is from Ensembl. NCBI's taxonomy places the organism in Eukaryota, Metazoa, Chordata, Actinopteri, Salmoniformes, Salmonidae.